This 253-nucleotide ribosomal RNA is filed under the name uncultured bacterium. Its description in RNAcentral is "partial 16S ribosomal RNA". It matches the Rfam family "Bacterial small subunit ribosomal RNA", at positions 524 to 776 of the family's 1533-position model. The record is from RNAcentral.
UACGUAGGUGGCAAGCGUUAUCCGGAAUUAUUGGGCGUAAAGCGCGCGUAGGCGGUUUCUUAAGUCUGAUGUGAAAGCCCACGGCUCAACCGUGGAGGGUCAUUGGAAACUGUUUCGCUUGAGUGCAGAAGAGGAGAGUGGAAUUCCAUGUGUAGCGGUGAAAUGCGCAGAGAUAUGGAGGAACACCAGUGGCGAAGGCGACUUUCUGGUCUGCAACUGACGCUGAUGUGCGAAAGCGUGGGGAUCAAACAGG